This 761-nucleotide ribosomal RNA is filed under the name uncultured bacterium. Its description in RNAcentral is "bacterial SSU rRNA". It matches the Rfam family "Bacterial small subunit ribosomal RNA", at positions 51 to 796 of the family's 1533-position model. The record is from RNAcentral.
AUACAUGCAGUCGAACGCGCAGCGAGAGGUGCUUGCACUUUCCAGCGAGUGGCGAACGGGUGAGUAACACGUGGAUAACCUGCCUCAAGGCUGGGGAUAACAUUUGGAAACAGAUGCUAAUACCGAAUAAAACUUAGUAUCGCAUGAUAUCAAGUUAAAAGGCGCUACGGCGUCACCUAGAGAUGGAUCCGCGGUGCAUUAGUUAGUUGGUGGGGUAAAGGCUUACCAAGACGAUGAUGCAUAGCCGAGUUGAGAGACUGAUCGGCCACAUUGGGACUGAGACACGGCCCAAACUCCUACGGGAGGCUGCAGUAGGGAAUCUUCCACAAUGGGCGCAAGCCUGAUGGAGCAACGCCRCGUGUGUGAUGAAGGCUUUCGGGUCGUAAARCACUGUUGUAUGGGAAGAAAUGCUAAAAUAGGGAAUGAUUUUAGUUUGACGGUACCAUACCAGAAAGGGACRGCUAAAUACGUGCCAGCAGCCGCGGUAAUACGUAUGUCCCGAGCGUUAUCCGGAUUUAUUGGGCGUAAAGCGAGCGCAGACGGUUGAUUAAGUCUGAUGUGAAAGCCCGGAGCUCAACUCCGGAAUGGCAUUGGAAACUGGUUAACUUGAGUGUUGUAGAGGUAAGUGGAACUCCAUGUGUAGCGGUGGAAUGCGUAGAUAUAUGGAAGAACACCAGUGGCGAAGGCGGCUUACUGGACAACAACUGACGUUGAGGCUCGAAAGUGUGGGUAGCAAACAGGAUUAGAUACCCUGGUAGUCC